GUUUGCCCAUGCCUGCCUUAAAGCCACCAUAUCCCAUCUGACCUUGGAAGCUAAGCAGGGUAAGCCUUGGUUAUUACUUGGAUUGGAAACCAUCAAUGAAUACUAGCUGCUGCAAGUU
RNAcentral lists this ribosomal RNA (118 nucleotides) under Anolis carolinensis (green anole). The record is from RNAcentral. Lineage: Eukaryota; Metazoa; Chordata; Lepidosauria; Squamata; Anolidae.